GCUAGAUGGUUGUCUCAGUCUCAUUCUGAAGUUUUUAAAUUUGAUUAAAAGCUGUACACUACAGAUAUUAUAUUCCUAGCCCACUCAAGGAUCCAAAGUUAAAAUAAUUAACAAGUGUAGACAUAUAACAGUAGCAAAAUCCCUGCUUUCUAAUUGUGUUGAAUUACGGCAAAUAUUCUGAGACUACAUUUUUUUUCCUGCUAAUGGUCAAUUUAUAUGUUUAAUUUUAAAUGAACAUUACUUCUGUAUUAGCAUUACUAAAAAUAUCACAUAUUAUUACAAAGUUUAGACUUGCCGUUUAUUAACUAUAUGCCCAGUUGUACAAUAAGAACCACAAGACCUGGCUUUUUAAUUAUUUUGUGUACCUAUUUCAAAAUCCAGCAGAUCUCAGAUUUGAAUUGUAAAUUCCAAAUUUAAAAGUCUUUAAGGGAACGCAGACCUCAAGAAGGCAGGCCCCCAGGAGAGCGGGAGGGCUGAGCAGCAUGCCAGCAGUGCCUCCUCUUUCUGCCCAGGGCCCCAUCUCACAGACCUCAUGCUGUGCCUGCAAUGGACAGCAUGGGGAGACUCCUGUCACUUCACCCCAAGGUUUGUGCCCUAUAAAGAAGAGAAGAUGACAGUGUCAGGAGGGUGUAGCAUCUGCCCAUCUGGCUAACCUGGCUGUGCCCAAGUGCUGGGCAGGUCCAGAGUAUUGUGCUGGGCUCUUGUGUCCCUCACACCUCUCCUGUCAUAUGACUGUGAUCCUGAACUUUGAGGACUCAAGCUACUCCAACAUAGUACUGUGACACCUGAAGCUGUGGAAAGCUCUUGAAAGCACAAUCUGUGGCAUUCUCCCACAGGUGUCAGGGUCAUCUCCUUUAGACUCAGCAAACCUGGGCGGUGACAGCUCCUUUCACAGUGUGACUCUGCUGCUGUCCGGGCAGCAGCACAGCCUGUAGUCAGCUCCCAUUUACAGUCUGCUUGGGACAGUGAGGCUGCAGGUGCAUGGUGGACACGACUGGGACCACCUUCCCCACAGGAGGAUUUAAUGAGAUACUGUGUGGAAAAUACCCUGGCUCCUGCGUGGCCCACAGGAUGUGCUCUACUGGCUAUCACGUUCAUCUCAACUUACUUGUGUGUGCUGUACCUCCAUGAGAGCUGCUGCAUCCAUGACCUGGACCCUCCCUAGUGGCAGCCCAUAUCCUGCCUGCUGCUGGUCAUCAUCCUGCACUACUUAAACUUGUGGAAGGGAAUGAAGACUUCUGGGAAAGUUGUGUGGAUCACAGCUACCAUGCCCUGCCUUGCGUGGUCCUCUUUGCCUUGCUCUUGUGAGGAACCACUUUUCCUGGAACCAUUGACGACAUCAAAGUGUAUCAGAGCAUUGAUUUCCAUCGGUUCUGUGAGGUGUCUGAAGCUGAUGCUUGAUGGUGGAGCACUACUGCUGCCCAGGACACAAAGGGAUCCCAGUCACAUCAGAUCUGAAAACAAAGUUCAAAAAAAAAGCAAAGUCCAGAGCCAGGCUGCAGAUUGCUUCAGCAAGGAAGAGAUGGUUCUGGGUUGAAAAUCCAACCAGGCCCCCUAUCUACUCCCCAGUCCACAGGGGAAAAAAAUAGCCAAAACUGAAACAGAACUAUUCAUUACAAAGACAAAAUAGUGGAAUAAAAUAUGAGUUCAGUUUAUUUUCUAACAAAAAAACAAAAAGAUCUUUAAAAAUAGAUAUUUUGUAAUGUACAUUGAUGAGACUAUUCUCAAUAGCAAGAUUGCUUUUUCAAACGUGAGAUCAGAUGCUUCAAAAUGAAAAUAAAAAUGGCUCUUCUGAGACACAUUUUACUCUUGUGUAGAAAUGGUCCAUUUGCAAACUCUACCAAGAGUGAAUAUUUCACAAAUGAAUUCAUCACAUGUAAAGUUAACAAGUAGGAAAUACUAGAGUGGGGAAAAAAACCUUUCUGUCUUGUGUUUUCAAGGUUAUUUACAUAUGGACCUCUAUUUUGUUUAAGAUAGAUCAUUGAAAUUCUAACACAUUGGAGAGUUAAUUCUUCACUCACUAGAUUAGAGUUUUGUUUUUAGGCUUAGAUUUUUAUUAUAUUGGAAUAGUGCUGAAAAGAUUAAUUUAGAUACUUUGAGAACUGACAGUGCACAUUCAGUAUUUUGCGUUCUCACCAUGUGCUUAGUCUAUGCAGUUUGAGAUCUUACGUCACAAAGGUGAUGACCCUUUCCUGUCCACAGGGUGUUUAUGGUCUAAUAGAAAAGUUAGGUAAAAAAAAAAACAACUGAUUGAGAGGAGGAGGAGAGAGGUAGAGGCACAGAUAAACUAUAAGGGAUCUAAUUACACAGUUUUUCUCCAAGUGGCAG
Molecule: long non-coding RNA, 2328 nt
Organism: Pteropus alecto (black flying fox)
Lineage: Eukaryota; Metazoa; Chordata; Mammalia; Chiroptera; Pteropodidae
Exons: 2
Source: RefSeq, a predicted model, not a curated record